GAGUUUGAUCUUGGCUCAGAGCGAACGCUGGCGGCAGGCCUAACACAUGCAAGUCGAACGAACUCUUCGGAGUUAGUGGCGGACGGGUGAGUAACACGUGGGAACGUGCCUUUUGGUUCGGAAUAACUCAGGGAAACUUGUGCUAAUACCGAAUGUGCCCUUCGGGGGAAAGAUUUAUCGCCAUUAGAGCGGCCCGCGUCUGAUUAGCUAGUUGGUGAGGUAAAGGCUCACCAAGGCGACGAUCAGUAGCUGGUCUGAGAGGAUGAUCAGCCACAUUGGGACUGAGACACGGGCCCAAACUCCUACGGGAGGCAGCAGUGGGGAAUCUGCGCAAUGGGCGAAAGCCUGACGCAGCCAUGCCGCGU
This 365-nucleotide ribosomal RNA is filed under the name uncultured microorganism. Its description in RNAcentral is "bacterial SSU rRNA". It matches the Rfam family "Bacterial small subunit ribosomal RNA", at positions 9 to 402 of the family's 1533-position model. The record is from RNAcentral.